RNAcentral lists this ribosomal RNA (339 nucleotides) under Clostridioides difficile. RNAcentral's name for it is "bacterial SSU rRNA". It matches the Rfam family "Bacterial small subunit ribosomal RNA", at positions 1208 to 1533 of the family's 1533-position model. Lineage: Bacteria; Bacillati; Bacillota; Clostridia; Peptostreptococcales; Peptostreptococcaceae. The record is from RNAcentral.
UUAGGGCUACACACGUGCUACAAUGGGUAGUACAGAGGGUUGCCAAGCCGUAAGGUGGAGCUAAUCCCUUAAAGCUACUCUCAGUUCGGAUUGUAGGCUGAAACUCGCCUACAUGAAGCUGGAGUUACUAGUAAUCGCAGAUCAGAAUGCUGCGGUGAAUGCGUUCCCGGGUCUUGUACACACCGCCCGUCACACCACGGGAGUUGGAGACGCCCGAAGCCGAUUAUCUAACCUUUUGGGAAGAAGUCGUCGAAGGUGGAAUCAAUAACUGGGGUGAAGUCGUAACAAGGUAGCCGUAUCGGAAGGUGCGGCUGGAUCACCUCCUUUCUAAGGAGAAUU